UACGGAGGGCGCAAGCGUUUUUCGGAAUCACUGGGCGUAAAGCGCGUGUAGGCGGCUUUGCAAGUCGGGUGUGAAAUCCCGAGGCUCAACCUCGGAACUGCACUCGAUACUGCUUGGCUCGAGUCCCGGAGAGGGUGGCGGAAUUCCCGGUGUAGGGGUGAAAUCCGUAGAUAUCGGGAGGAACAUCAGUGGCGAAGGCGGCCACCUGGACGGUGACUGACGCUGAGACGCGAAAGCGUGGGGAGCAAACAGG
This 253-nucleotide ribosomal RNA is filed under the name uncultured bacterium. Its description in RNAcentral is "partial 16S ribosomal RNA". It matches the Rfam family "Bacterial small subunit ribosomal RNA", at positions 524 to 776 of the family's 1533-position model. The record is from RNAcentral.